RNAcentral lists this ribosomal RNA (783 nucleotides) under Triticum aestivum (bread wheat). RNAcentral's name for it is "partial small subunit ribosomal RNA". The record is from RNAcentral. Lineage: Eukaryota; Viridiplantae; Streptophyta; Magnoliopsida; Poales; Poaceae.
AUGAAGCUUCUUCCGGCCGCCCUCGGCCUCGUCCUCCUCCUCCUCCUCGUUCUAAAUCCCAAUGGCGUGGAGGCCCGGCCAGCCCCUGCCGGCGGCCAUCAGAAGAAGUCGUCGAGCAACACUUUCUUCGUCUUCGGGGACGACUUCUCCGACAACGGGAACCUCCCUCUCACCGACCCCGUCACGAAGAUGUCGCGGCGAUGGGCCUACCCCUACGGCUCCGUGUAUACCGAUGCCCAUGGGUUUCCGCGACCAAAUACUCCGUCUGGCCGCUUCUCCAACUACAAAAUCCAGUCAGAUUUCAUCGCGACAAUGUUGGGGUUGGAGGAGGCCCCUCCUGCGCAUGCCCUCACAGCAGACAAAACCUGCGACCCGUCCGGCAUGACCUUCGCCUAUGGUGGUGCAGGUGUGCUGGAAAGUACAUCACACGGGGUUCACACCCUCCGCAAGCAGGUCGACGCUUUCAGGAAGAUGGUCAAGGAUGGGACCAUCUCUGAGAAGCAGUUGAGUCACUCGGUAGCGCUCGUGGCCAUCUCCGGCAACGAUUAUGCAAGCACAGGCGUGAUUGGCCUAAGUAACCCCAGUGAUAUUACUGCUUAUAUUGGAAAGGUGACAGAAGAGAUCGCGGCUAAUGUGGAGCAAUUGUUGAAGCUCGGAGUGAAAAAAGUUCUUGUCAACAACUUGCACCCUAUCGGUCGCACGCCGUCACAAACCCGAACCAAUAACUACACCGCGUGCGAUAUUUUGGAAAUUUGGGUGCAUCAAUUCACAACGAUAACCUGA